RNAcentral lists this ribosomal RNA (253 nucleotides) under uncultured bacterium. Its description in RNAcentral is "partial 16S ribosomal RNA". It matches the Rfam family "Bacterial small subunit ribosomal RNA", at positions 524 to 776 of the family's 1533-position model. The record is from RNAcentral.
UACGUAGGGCGCAAGCGUUGUCCGGAAUUAUUGGGCGUAAAGAGCUCGUAGGCGGCUUGUCGCGUCGACUGUGAAAACCCGCGGCUCAACUGCGGGCCUGCAGUCGAUACGGGCAGGCUAGAGUUCGGUAGGGGAGACUGGAAUUCCUGGUGUAGCGGUGAAAUGCGCAGAUAUCAGGAGGAACACCGAUGGCGAAGGCAGGUCUCUGGGCAUUAACUGACGCUGAGGAGCGAAAGCAUGGGGAGCGAACAGG